ACAACUUACUUUGUUCUAUUGACAAAACCCAAACCCUGAAAUUGAUCCCAAAGUAAUGCUUAGAAACGAAAUGCUAAAUGUCAGCAAAUAAAUAAUAAUUAACUUUCUACAUAUGUGCCAUGCCAUAUCUAGGGAAUAUUUAGUAAGUCUUUAGAAUAUUUCUUGAUGAACUCUAAUUUCUAAUUGAACUUGAGAUAACAUAUUCAAUCUCUUCUCUAUUAUCUUUAUCACAUUGUCACCUAGAGAGAUAGAAAGCACAAUAUUAGCAUUCCUGACAUAGAUGAUUUUUGAAUACUAUCUUUUAUUCAACAGAAGAGCAUUCCUCACCCUUCCUUGUAAAAUUUCUAAUUUUACCAAUUUGAUUUAAUUUUUACCUAUUGAAGACAAAAACUAAUGGAAGAAUGUUAAUGAGCCAAUCUAUC
RNAcentral lists this long non-coding RNA (422 nucleotides) under Homo sapiens (human). Its description in RNAcentral is "HSALNT0368699". The record is from RNAcentral. Lineage: Eukaryota; Metazoa; Chordata; Mammalia; Primates; Hominidae.